Molecule: ribosomal RNA, 126 nt
Filed under: Callipepla squamata (scaled quail)
Lineage: Eukaryota; Metazoa; Chordata; Aves; Galliformes; Odontophoridae
Source: RNAcentral
GUCUAUGGCCACACCACUCUGGCAACGCCCGAUCUCGUCCGAUCUCGGAAGCUAAGCAGGGUCGGGCCUGGUUAGUACCAUCAUCUUGGAUGGGAGACCUCCUGGGAAUACCGGGUGACGUAGGCU